Molecule: long non-coding RNA, 629 nt
Organism: Ipomoea nil (Japanese morning glory)
Lineage: Eukaryota; Viridiplantae; Streptophyta; Magnoliopsida; Solanales; Convolvulaceae
Exons: 2
Source: RefSeq, a predicted model, not a curated record
ACUUCCGUCAUCUGCAGCAAGAGGGCUUCGAUGUUACUUACCUUCCCGUUGAACCCGACGGGCUUAUUAACCUAGACAAGCUCAGGGCGGCGAUUCGGCCCGACACAGGCCUGGUUUCGGUCAUGAUGGUGAAUAAUGAGAUUGGGGUUAUUCAACCCGUUGAGGAAAUCGGAAAAAUUUGCAAAGAAUUCAAUGUGCCUUUCCAUACCGAUGCGGCCCAAGCUUUAGGGAAGAUUCCAAUCGAGAUUGAUAGAGCGGUGGGGCUUACUGUGCACCAAGUCGAGAAAUUGAGGGAAAUGAGCCCCCUUUAUGAGAUGGUUAAGGAGGGUAUUGACAUUAAGAGUAUCGAAUGGACACAACACUGAAUGGUUGCAUUCUUUGGGCAUUUUCUGCUACUGACAAUGAUUAACCAGAGAUGAACACGCUAGGUGAGGUUGCAGAUCAGGCAUAGAGACUGCAAGCAAUCAAGGUUUUGUCCAAGAAUGCGCCCAUUACAUGCUUCUUUAUGUUUUGUUCUGCAGGAUAAAUAUUGCAAGUGAAUUGGUAUUUAUAUAUCAUACAUUGGCAGUCCCAUAAUUCAGCUGUGUUGAUAUUGAUUGAUGUUUUAAGAUUUUGGGUGUGCAGAUUUU